GCUUUUAAUGGAUAGCAGUAUUCCAUCGGCUUUAGGAGCCGAGCAUCUU
This 49-nucleotide transfer RNA is filed under the name Crocodylus siamensis (Siamese crocodile). RNAcentral describes it as "partial tRNA-Leu". Lineage: Eukaryota; Metazoa; Chordata; Crocodylia; Crocodylidae. The record is from RNAcentral.